CUUUGCUAGGACUUUGGGCAGAGCUGCAGAGGCAAGCCUGAUUCGGAUUUCCCUGACCUGGCCGUCAGCGGAGGAGUGGGACACGACAUGAGCGUAGGGAUGCUGCAAUGGUCAUAAGUGAGAAAAGUGGUCGAAGAAAUCCUCAAGAGGUCCAAAAACUUAAAAAAGAGAGAAAGAGAGCCGGCUACAAAGAGUUUGGGAACAAAAAAACGCUGUGAAGAAAAAGUGUUCCGGUUGAAGACCAAAGUCCACUGGGACGUGUUCUAGAAAUAUAUAUAUAUACAUAUAUUGCACCCCCAGAAAAACUGUUUAGGGAGGAGCGGGGUUAUAUUGAAGACGGAGCAAACACCCACUUAGAUACCAGAGAGGAGAAAACGGGGGUACAAAGUAUUGUCCUAAAAGUUGCAGAACAAAUUAAAAAUGCUUCCAAAAGUGUGGAAAUGCCACAAAGCCCAUUUCUUAACUGGAAAAAAUAAAAUAAAUAAAAGUAUUGCCUUAGGACCCCCAGAAAGAGAUAAAAAGGUACAGUACAACAAAGGGUUCAACAGUCCCCCGUCCCCAAUAUCCCACCCUCUUUCUGUGUAAAAGAAGUCCCAAACCUCUGGCUGGUUGGAUGACCUCUGGGAAUCCCAAAAUGGCCAGCAGCAUGGUUAAUUUUUUAAAACCCUUUUAAAAAGGCACAAUAUUCUUUAAUGUUUUGCUUUUUUUUCCCAGGGAGGUGAGAUUUGAGACGGCUGGUAUGGAAGCCAUCAGCGGGGUGGGGAGCUGCCAUGAAAGUUUUUCAGAAUUGAUUUUUCAAAAUUAUUUUUUUUCAAAAUUCAACCAUUUUCUCCCCCACCUGUUCUCAAGAGGUACCGUCCAUCGUUCCUGGUAUGUUUUCGGUUGGGUGGUUUCUUUAGGGGGGGAAACCUUUCCAUAGUGGGUUAUUGUGCAAGUUAGGCUCACCCUCAUCAGGACUAGAAACUUGUCUAGUUUCUCAAAAAAGAAAUGAACGAUCAAGCUGUUCUUUUCUCUUUCGCUCACAAGAUGAGUUUUGAGGAUGUUUCUUCCCAUCUGGCGGAUCUGAUCAUGAUGGGAGGUGGUCUUAUAACAAUGGCUUGUUCAAAUAAUCCUGGUUAAAAGUGGCAAUUCCAUCUUGGCUUAAGUAAACCAGUCGGCUUCCUGGGUUUUUUGGUAAAACUUUCAAUACACUGUGCCUGAUUAUAUUCUGCAUAGAUAUCACACAGCUCGCUUCCUGCUUGGAGAUGCGAACAAUAGAAUUGAGGAAAUUGAGCUUCCUUAUUUAGCGGCAGUCUACCAGGAUAAAGACACUAGUGGUUGUUUUCUCAUCAUGAAUAUUUGGGGUUUUUCAGAAGGAUGCAUCUAAACUUGAUGGCUGCAGAACAAGAGUGGAUUUCAACUCCCAGAAUUCCCCAGCCAGCUAUUAGUUUCUUAUAAUCCCUUCCACUGCAAUCUCUCUGCUCUGGGAAGGGAGUGGGUGACAAAGAAAAUGAGCAGGGCUGGCUGAGGAAUUCUUGGCGUUGAAGUCCACCCAUCUGAAACUUGCAAAAUUGAGAAUUACGGGUUGACAGGAAGUCUAGAUGCCAUUCCAAGCUACGGAAAACAGAGAAUUAAAUUUGGUUUUUAGAUCUAGCCUUGUUCUGCCUUUUUUUUUUUUUU
Ahaetulla prasina is the source of this 1659-nucleotide long non-coding RNA. RefSeq lists it as uncharacterized. Lineage: Eukaryota; Metazoa; Chordata; Lepidosauria; Squamata; Colubridae. The record is from RefSeq and is a predicted model, not a curated record. The transcript has 2 exons.